RNAcentral lists this unclassified non-coding RNA (401 nucleotides) under fungal sp. RNAcentral describes it as "partial internal transcribed spacer region". The stretch from base 1 to 46 matches the Rfam family "Eukaryotic small subunit ribosomal RNA", at positions 1786 to 1831 of the family's 1831-position model. The record is from RNAcentral. Lineage: Eukaryota; Fungi.
AAGUCGUAACAAGGUUUCCGUAGGUGAACCUGCGGAAGGAUCAUUAACACGUAUCCAAACGUUAAAACCCAUCCUUGCACAAUCAAUGACACUUUCCGACACUGACUGCUUGGGGAAACAUUGCCUAUAGAACUACCGCUCGAUUGUAACUGUUCCAAUGUUCGCACGUAGCCAGAGGUCUCUGAAUCACUACAACUUUCCGGGCUAUGAUUUAUCAGAGAGUGCGAACUACGCGGGUUACAAGAGCAGGAUGAAGGUUCACGGGGGACGAUUCCUGUAGACCGUACACUCGGGCAGGAGCUUUGCCAAAGGGUCCCCAUGCCCCCUAAUAACCCCACUGAAGCUCAAUGUAAUACAUUGGGUAAACCGAACAACUGUUAACAAUGGAUAUCUUGGUUCUC